GGGGGCGGGCUGGGGCGUCGAUGCUCCUGCCACGUGACCCACGAGGGGCGAGCCCAGGACGUGGAGGUGCCUGCCAUGAGCACGCACGGGGAUGUGCCGGGACGUGGAGACGCCACGCCAUGUGACACGCGAGCAGGCGCGCCGGGUCAUCAAGGAGCCCUGCCACGUGACAUUUAAGGAGUGUGCUUGGGACUUCGAGACACCUGCCACGAGGUAGAAAGGUAAACUCAUGAUCAGACAAUGCAGUGACAAGUCCUGGAGGGGGCACGGGGACUGAACCUUCACACACUACUAGUUGGGAUGGAAGAUGGCACAGCUCCUGUGGAAACAGCCUGACUGCUCCUCCUCUGUAACUCUGUGAGUGAAAUAAAGUAUCUUUUCACGUGUGAAAGAGUGCAGCACUCUGAGACACCCGUGGCCGCAGAAGACUGGGGUCUGGAUCCUGGGCUGGCCCGGACGUGCCGGGGAAGCGUGUGUGCCCAUGAUCCCGGCUGGCUGCGAAGGCUCGGGGGAGCAGCAUGGCUCAGGCCCUGUUGAGGGCGCACAUGUUUCUCUCUGUUUC
Long non-coding RNA from Tupaia belangeri chinensis (Chinese tree shrew), 562 nucleotides. RefSeq lists it as uncharacterized. The record is from RefSeq and is a predicted model, not a curated record. NCBI's taxonomy places the organism in Eukaryota, Metazoa, Chordata, Mammalia, Scandentia, Tupaiidae. The transcript is spliced from 3 exons.